This 498-nucleotide unclassified non-coding RNA is filed under the name uncultured fungus. RNAcentral's name for it is "partial contains small subunit ribosomal RNA, internal transcribed spacer 1, and 5.8S ribosomal RNA". The stretch from base 450 to 498 matches the Rfam family "5.8S ribosomal RNA", at positions 1 to 49 of the family's 154-position model. Lineage: Eukaryota; Fungi. The record is from RNAcentral.
UCAAACUUGGUCAUUUAGAGGAAGUAAAAGUCGUAACAAGGUUUCCGAGGAACAAGUAUGGAAGUGAUCCUUCCGCGUAACACUUGCCGAAGCCUUAGCGGCCCGAAAGGGUGUCCCUACGACUCUAAACAAGAAGGAGACUUGAACGCUAGUCCGGGCCCUGCGCCCGGGCGACACUGCCAAAUUGCGGGAACACCCUAAAGACCUCAACACCAAGCGUCGCCGGAAACGGCGGCGUGGCCGAGCUAAUAUGGGGGGUAAGCUUACGCCUUCCCCGUGGAAGUACCCGUGGAAGUAACCGUUCCGUAGGUGAACCUGCGGAAGGAUCAUUAGUGAUUGCCCUAGUGGCUUAAACUAUAUCCAUAUACACCUGUGAACCGUUUGAUUGACACUCUGUGUCGAUUUUACAAACAAUGUGUAAUGAACGUCUAGUUAUUAUAACAAAAAAUAACUUUCAACAACGGAUCUCUUGGCUCUCGCAUCGAUGAAGAACGCAGC